Molecule: transfer RNA, 79 nt
Filed under: archaeon
Lineage: Archaea
Description: tRNA-Ile
Rfam family: tRNA
About the family: Transfer RNA (tRNA) molecules are approximately 80 nucleotides in length. Their secondary structure includes four short double-helical elements and three loops (D, anti-codon, and T loops). Further hydrogen bonds mediate the characteristic L-shaped molecular structure. tRNAs have two regions of fundamental functional importance: the anti-codon, which is responsible for specific mRNA codon recognition, and the 3' end, to which the tRNAs corresponding amino acid is attached (by aminoacyl-tRNA synthetases). tRNAs cope with the degeneracy of the genetic code in two manners: having more than one tRNA (with a specific anti-codon) for a particular amino acid; and 'wobble' base-pairing, i.e. permitting non-standard base-pairing at the 3rd anti-codon position.
Source: RNAcentral
AGGGUGGCAGCUCAGACGAGGUGAGAGCGCAGAGCUGAUAACUCUGAGGCCGCCGGUUCGAUUCCGGCCCACUCUGCCA